ACAACACUUGAGCUAGUCUUAGAGGCGAGACUAUGAACUAUUUAUUUACCAUUUAUCAUUCCACACGUGCAUAUGAGUUUUCCACUGAAUCGCAUAUUCCAGGAUCAUAGCAGCUAGCAGAGAUUAUAAACUCUUAUUUAUGAAUAUGGAAAUGUAAUAAUACAAAUAUUAUUGCCUUUAGGGCAUAUUUCCAACACUUUGCUAGUGAAGCUGAACCUAGGUUCGAGCCAUUUUUAGUGCAAUUGCGUGAAACACCUAGAAGUGUACUUCAGCGGAGAACCGGCUUUGGUAGUGAAGCAAAUCCACAUGUGAUUUAAAUGAGUAAAUAGUAUAGAACUACAACAUUUGAGGCUAGGGUUCCAAAAAACUACGACUUCCUUUAAUUUCUCAAAAAGCUACCAUAGAAUUGGUUGUUUGUUCCAAAAAACUCUAAUGACUAGAUGAUUAAGAUUUAGUCCGGAUUAUACAUGUAGGACCCACUCCAAUACAAACCAUUUGUUGAUUGCUUGUUUGACCGUUAUAUGACAUGUGGGUCACGUGUCAGCUCUUGAUGUCUACUACGCAACCUUCUUCUUGUAGACUCAUGUUGGGCCUCCAAGCAUAGAGUUUUGUAGGACAGUAGCAAAUUUCCCUCAAGUGGAUGACCUAAGUUUUAUCAAAACAUGGGAGGCAUAGGAUGAAGAUGGUCUCUCUCAAACAACCCUACAACCAAAUAACAAAGAGUCUCUUGUGUCCCCAACACACCCAAUACAAUGGUAAAUUCUAUAGGUGCACUAGUUCGGCGAAGAGAUGGUGAUACAAGUGUAAUAUGGAUGGUAAAUAUAGGUUUUUAUAAUCUAAAAAUAUAAAAACAGCAAGGUAGCAAGUAACAAAAGUGAGCAAAAACGGUAUUGCAAUGCUUGAAAACAAGGCCUAUGGUUCAUACUUUCACUAGUGUAAAUUCUCUCAACAAUGAUAACAUAAUUAAAUCAUAUGGCAAUCCCUCAACGUGCGACAAAGAAUCACUCCAAAAUUUCUAUCGGAGAACAUAGGAUGGAAACGUGCAUCAACCCCUAUGCAUAGAUUACCCCGAUGUCACCUCGAGAAUCCGCGAGUUGAGUGCCAAAACAUACAUCAAGUGAAUCAACAGAACAUCACAUUAUCACCACAGAUAUCCCAUCACAAGACAUACAUCAAGUGUUCUCAAAUCCAAUACUCAAUCCAACAUAACGAAACCUCAAAGAGCAAGACUCAAUUCAUCACAAGAAGGUGAGAGGGAAGAACACCAUAUGAUUCAACUAUAGUAACAAAGAUCGUGCCAAAUCAAGAACACGAGAGAGAGGGGGCAUCAAACACAUAGCUACCGGUACAUACCUCAGCCCCGAGGGUGAACUACUCCCUCCUCGUCAUGCAGACUGCCAGGAUGAUGAAGAUGGCCUCCGGUGAUGAUUUCCCCUUCAGGCAAGAUGUCGAAACGGGCUCCCGGUUGUUUUUUCAUGGCUAUAGAGGCUUGUGGUGGCGGAAGUUCCGAUCUAGGUUUCUUUCUAGAGGUUACAAGAUUUAUAAAUGUUUUUGGCGCCGAUCUCACGUCAAGGCGGUGCUCGAGGGGCCCACAAGCCGGGGGCAUGCCCCUAGGCUAGUGGCUUCCUCAGUCACUUCCUAGCCCAGCUCCGAUGUUUCGGGGGUCUCUUUUGGUCCAUAAAAAAUCAUCGUAAUUUUUUAGCCUAUUCCGAGAACUUUUAUUUCUGCACAAAAAAUGACACCAUGGUAGUUCUGCUGAAAACAGCGUCAGUCCGGGUUAGUUCUAAUAAAUACAUACCAAAACCAUAUAAAAUUGUUGCAAACAUGGCAUGAAUACUUCAUAAAUUAUAGAUACAUUGGAGACAUAUCAGCAUCCCCAAGCUUAAUUCUUGCUCAUCGUCGAGUAGGUAAAUGACAAAAGAAUGAAUUUAUGAAGUGUGAAUGCUACGUAACAUAUUUAUCAAUGUAAGAUUCUUUAUUGUGGCAUGAAUGUUCUGAUCCAUAAGAUUCAAAACAAAAGUUUAAUAUUGACAUAAAAACAAUAAUACUUCAAGCAUACUAAUAAAGGCAUCAUGUCUUCUCAAAAAUAACAUGGCCAAAGAAAGUUAUCCCUAAAAUAUCAUAUAGUCUGGCUAUGCUCCAUCUUCAUCACACAAAGUAUUUCAUCAUGCACAACCCCGGUGUUAGUCAAGCAAUUGUUUCAUAUUUUUAAUGUUCUCAAACUUUUUCAACUUUCACGCAAUAUAUGAGCGUGAGCCAUGGAUAUAACAGUAACGAUGGAAUAGAAUAUGGUGGAGGUUGUGAGGAGAAGACAAAAAGGAGAAAGUCUCACAUCAACUAGGCAAAUUAAUGGGCUAUGGAGAUGCCCAUCAAUUUAUAGCGAUGCAUGUGAGUAGGGAUUGCCAUGCAACGGGUGCACUAGAGCUAUAAGUGUAUGAAAGCUCAAAAGAAAACUAAGUGGGUGUGCAUCCAACUUGCUUGCUCAUGAAGACCUAGGGCAAUUUGAGGAAGCCCAUCACUGGAGUAUACAAGCCAAGUUCUAUAAUGAAAAAUUCCCACUAGUAUAUGAAAGUGACAAAAUAGGAGACUCUCUAUCAUGAAGAACAUGGUGCUACUUUAAAGCACAAGUGUGGAAAAGGAUAGUAGCAUUGUCCCUUCUCUCUCUUUCUCUCAUUUUUUUAAUUUGUCUUAUUUUCUCUUUUUUUUGUUUGGGCUCUUUGGCAUUUUCAAAAAAAUGGCUCUUUGGGCUCUUUUUAUUUUUUAAGUCCAGAGUCUCAUCCCAACUUGUGAGGGAAUCAUAGCCUCCAUCAUCCUUUCCUCACAUGGGACAAUGCUCUAAUAAUGAUCAUCACACUUUUAUUUACUUACAACUCAAGAAUUACAAAUCGAUACUAGAACAAAGAUAUGACUCUAUAAGAAUGCCUCCGGUGGUGUACCGGGAUGUGCAAUGAUCAAGAGUGACAUGUAUACAAAUAUGAACGGUGGUCAAGCCACAAAUACUAUGCCAACUACAUGAUCAUGCAAAGCAAUAUGACAAUGAUGGUAUGCGUCAUAAUAUAUGGAACAGUGGAAGUUGCAUGGCAAUAUAUCUUAGAAUGGCUAUGGAUAUGCCAUAAUAGAUAGGUAUGGUGGUUGUUUUGAGGAAGGGUAAAUGGUGGGUUUAAUGCACCAGCGAAAGUUGCGCGGUACUAGAGAGACUAGCAAUAGUGGAAGGGUGAGAGUGCGUAUAAUCCAUGGACUCAACAUUGGUCAUAAAGAACUCACAUACUUAUUGAAAAAGUUUAUUAGCCAUCAAAUCAAAGUACUAAUACGCAUGCUAUUAGGGGAGAGGUUGGUAGGAGUUAACCAUCGCGCGCUCCUGACCUCCACACAAAGGAUGACAAUCAAUAAAUAAAUCAUGCUCCAACUUCAUCACAUAACGGUUCACCAUACGUGCAUGCUAAGAGAAUCACAAACUUUAGCACAAGUAUUUCUACCAAUCCACAAUUACACUAGCAUGACUCUAAUAUCACCAUCUUUAUAUCUCAAAACAAAUGCAAGGAAUCAAACUUCUCAUAUAUUCAAUGCUCUUUAUGAAAGUUUUUAUUGUAUCCUUCUUGAAUACCUAUCAUAUUGGGACCAAUUUCAUAACACAUUUAUGUUACCACUACUAUUUAUAAGACUCUCAAAAAGAUAUAAGUGAAGCAUGAGAGUAAAUGACAAACUACUCCAAAAAGAUAAAAGUGGAGAUCAAUGAGUAGUUUAAUAAUUAUGUAGCUAUGUGAGGACUCUAUCUCAUUUAAGAAUUUCAGAUCUUAAUAUUUUAUUCGAACAACAAGCAAAACAAAUAAAAAUUACACUCCAAGGAUAGCACAUAUCAUGUGAAGAAGCAAAAACUUAGGUUCAACCAAAAUUGACUGAUCAUUGUUGAAGAAGAAAGGUGGGAUGCCAACUGGGGCAUCCCCAAUCUUAGAUGCUUGAGACUUCUUGAAAUAUUAACUAGGGAUGCCUUGGGCACCCCCAAGCUUGAGCUCUUGUGUCUCCUUAAUUCCUCCCACAUCACAGUUUCCCUAAUUCUAAAAAAACUUCAUCCACACAAAACUCAACAAGAACUCAUGAGAUAAGUUAGUAUAAAUAAAUGCAAAACCUUAUCAUUCUCUACUGUAGAAAAUCACUAAAAUUAUAAUUUGACAUUGCAUACUAAAUGCCUCUGCAUAUUUAAUACUCCUAUCCUCAAAUAGAAUCAUUAAACAAGCAAACAUAUUCAAACAAUGCAAACAUAACAGCAAUCUGUCUAAACAGAACAGUCUGUAAAGAAUGCAAGAACAUUGAUACUUCUCUAAAUCAAAAAAUUCUGAAAAAUUAGGACAAUCUAGGCAAUUUGUAUAUCAAUCUUGUGUAAGAAAUUUAGAGCAAAAUCACGCUUUUGUGUAUUUCUAAAAUUCUGGCAAUGAGCGCAAAAGUUUCUGUUUUUCAGCAAGAUCAAAUCAACUAUCACCAUGGACCAUCCCAAAGGUCUUACUUGGCUCAAACACUAAUUAAAACACUAAAAUACAAUUACUACAGAGGUAAUAAUGUGUAUUUAUUGAAAAACAUAAGCAAAAACAAAAACAGAAAAUAAAAAUUGGCCUGCCGCCCAACAAGCGCUUUUAUUUAAUGCGUUUUUAGCUAGGCAUGAUGAUGUCAAUGAUGCUCACAUAAAAGAUAAUAAUUGAAACAUAAUGGGAGCAUCAUGAAGCAUAUGACUAGAACAUUUAAGUCUAACCCACUUCCUAUGCAUAUGGAUUUUGUGAGGAAACAAUUUAUGGGAGCAAGAAUCAACUAGCAUAGGAAGGUAAAGCAAGCAAAACUUCAAGAUUUUCAACACGUAGAGAGGAAACUUGAUAUUAUUGAGAUACGUAGAAGCAUAUAUUCCUCUCUCAUAAUAAUUUUCAAUAGCAUAAUGAAUGAAUUAAACAAUAUAACUAUCACGUAAAGCAUUAUUUUCAUGAUCCACAACCAUAAUUUUUUUUAUUAUUCUCCACAUAAGCAAAAUUCUUCUCAUUCAUAGUAGUUGGAGAAAACUCAACAAAAUAACUAUCAUGUGAGGCAUAAUCCAAUUGAAAAUUAAAAUUGCGAUGACAAGUUUCAUGGUUAUCAUUAUUAUUUAUAGAUAGCAACUUUGUUCUCAUAAUCAAUUGAAACCUCUUCCGAAAUAGUGGAUUCAUCACUAAAUAAAGUCGUGACCUCUCCAAAUCCACUUUCAUAAAUAUUAUAAGAUUCAACACCCUCCAAAAUAGUGGGAUCAUUACCUAGAGUUGACACUCUUCCAAACCCACUUUAAUCAAUAUAAUCAUCAUAAAUAGGAGGCACGUUAUCAUCAUAAUAAAUUUGCUCAUCAAAACUUGGGGGACAAAAAAUAUCAUCUUCAUCAAACAUAGCAUCCCCAAGCUUAUGACUUUGCAUAUCAUUGGCAUCAUGGAUAUUCAAAGAAUUCAUACUAAAAACAUUACAAUCAUUCUCAUCAUUCAAAUAUUUAGUGCCAAACAUUUUAUUGACUUCUUCUUCUAACACUUUGGCACAAUUUUCCUUUCCAUCAUUUUCAUGGAAGACAUUAAAAAGAUGAAGCAUAUGAGGCAACCUCAAUUCCAUUUUUUUGUAGUUUUCUUUUAUAGACUAAACUAGUGAUAAAACAAGAAACUAAAAGAUUCAAUUGCAAGAUCUAAAGAUAUACCUUCAAGCACUCACCUCCCGGGCAACGGCUCCAGAAAAGAGCUUGAUGUCUACUACGAAACCUUCUUCUUGUAGACUCGUGUUAGGCCUCCAAGCACAGAGUUUGGUAGGAGAAUAGCAAAUUUCCCUCAAGUGGAUGACCUAAGGUUUAUCAAUCCAUGAGGCAUAGGAUGAAUACGGUCUCUGUCAAACAACCCUACAACCAAAUAACAAAGAGUCUCUUGUGUCCCCAACACACCCGAUACAAUGGUAUAUUGUAUAGGUGCACUGGUUCGGUGAAGAGAUGGUGAUACAAGUGUAAUAUGGAAGGUAGAUAUAGGUUUUUAUAAUCUGAAAAUAUAAAAAAGCAAGGUAGCAAGUAACAAAAGUGAGCAAAAACGGUAUUGUAAUGCUUGAAAACAAGGCCUAGGGUUCAUACUUUCACUAGUGCAAAUUCUCUCAACAAUGAUAACAUAAUUAAAUCAUAUGGCAAUCCCUCAACGUGCGACAAAGAAUCACUCCAAAGUUUCUAUCGGAGAACGUAGGACGAAAACAUGCAUCAACUCCUAUGCAUACAUUACCCUAGUGUCACCUCGGGAAUCCAUGAGUUGAGUGCCAAAACACACAUCAAGUGAAUCAACAGAACAUCCCAUUGUCACCACAGAUAUCCCAUCACAAGACAUACAUCAAGUGUUCUCAAAUCCAUUACUCAAUCCAACAUAACGAAACCUCAAAGAGCAAGACUCAAUUCAUCACAAGAAGGUAGAGAGGGAAGAACACCAUAUGAUUCAAUUAUAGUAACAAAGCUCGCCAUACAUCAAGAUCGUGCCAAAUCAAGAACACGAGAGAGAGAGAGAGAGAGAGAGAUCAAACACAUAGCUACUGGUACAUACCCUCAGCCCCGAGGUUAAACUACCCCCUCGUCGUCAUCGAGACCGCCGAGAUGAUGAAGAUGGCCUCCGGUGAUGAUUUCCCCCCUCUGGAAGGGUGCCAGAAUGGGCUCCCAAUUAGUUUUUCAUGGCUAUAGAGGCUUGCGGCAGUGGAACUUCCAAUCUAGGUUUAUUUCUAGAGGUUACAAGAUUUAUAAGAAUUUUUGGCGUCGGUCUCACAUCAAGGGGGUGCCCGAGGGGCCCACAAGCUGGGGGCGCGCUCCCUGGGGGUAGGGCGCCCCCUAGGCUUGUGGCCUCCUCGAUCACUUCCUGGCCCAACUCUGGUGCUUCGGGGGUCUCUUUUGGUCCAUAAAAAAUCACUCUAAAUUUUCAGCCCAUUCCGAGAACUUUUAUUUCUGCACAAAAAACGACACCACGGUAGUUCUGCUGAAAACAGCGUCAGUCCAGGUUAGUUCUAAUAAAAUCAUACCAAACUCAUAUAAAAUUGUUGCAAACAUGGCAUGAAUACUUCAUAAACUAUUGAUAUGUUGGAGACAUAUCAGCUCUCUCUUCCUUCCUCUCCGCUUUCUUCUCUCCUUGACGUUCCCUUAUCUCUCGCUCUCUUGGGUGACCUGCAGCCAGUGCCUCCUCCGCCGUAGGCCGCUGCCUGAGGCCUCCUCCUAUUUGUCGACCCUUCUCUUGUCUCUCUUGCAACUAGUGCCGCCGUCUGGCGUGGCGCAUUUGCAGCCCGCCCGCUAACAUCGUGGGCCACUGCCCAUUGCGCCUGCCCAUUGCUACCCGAGGCCUCUUCUCUUUGCUGACCCAUGGUGGCGUGCAACAAGAGCAGCAGUAGAACAUCAGGAGUGGCGGUGGCGGAACAGCGGGAGCAUCAGCUCUAGGCGCGUGCAACAGCCGACACGACUGGCUACCUCUGGCCACUCCCCAUGCCGAUGUUCAACAAGAGAGGAGCUCCGGCCGCGUGCAGGAGCCGGCACGACGGGCUCCCUCCGGCCACUCUUCGUGCCCGGAGCUCAAGAGUGGAGAUGAUGAGGACAUCAAUAUCACUUUUACACCCACAACCCCUACUGCUACAUAUACUAGACCAAUUACUAGAGCUCGUGCACACCAAUUAAAUUAUCAGGUACUUUCGUUUCUUGGUAAUGAUUCUAAUGUUCAUGAGAAUAUGAUGCUACCUAAAUUAGAUACAUUUGUUUUGCUUACAAAUGAAGGGCCUGGCAUGGAUAAGAGGGAUGAACACUAGAGCAAGACCAAGCAUGGAGAUCAUGGCAUGCGCAAGGGGAACAAGAACAGUUACAAGUGAUGAUUUCAAGACUUUAAAGCCACAAUAACGAGUGCAUGAAGCCUUGGACGAAAUAUAAAAGAUGCCACUUCAUAAAUUUCUUCCAUAGGCUAUUCUAGGUGUUGUGUCACCUUAUUAUUGGGCCAGGCCCAUGUAAUUACGAAAUACUUAAGUAUAGGCUGUUUUUAGAGACCGUAUGUGUGGGGAAACAAGAGUUAGGGUUGGUUUCGGAACCCUCCUCCAAGGGCAACGAAAUUCCCCCUCUUCCUCCAUAUAUAUAUAUAUAUAUAUAUAUAUAUAUAUAUAUAUAUAUAUAUAUAUCCCUUAGGGCGUCGUUUAGACUUUGGGUUUUGUUUAGAUUAAAAGUUGGCCAUAACUGCAACUUCACGUACUUCGUUUGUGUUCAACGACCAGACCAAGGCGUCACAGAACUCCACCUUGAUCAAUAAAGCUUUCAUCUUAUAUUUGCAAUAUCCAGAUUGCAAUCUUAGUUUCUUGCUUGUUCUUCGUUUGCUUGCAGGAAAUAGACCUUCGUGGUCAGGUUGAUCGUGCUCCGGCAUGGUCAAUAACCUCUCGGAGUUGGUUUAGCGAUUGCUAAGGCGUGACAUCCUCGCACGUUCGUAGUCGGAUCGUCAAAGUCUACUCCAUCAUAAGCAAUAGCCGCUGUCGGUGUCAAAACCGGCGGAUCUCGGGUAGGGGGUCCCGAACUGUGUGUCUAAGGCGGAUGGUAACAGGAGGCAGGGGACACAAUGUUUUACCCAGGUUUGGGCCCUCUUGAUGGAGGUAAAACCCUACGUCCUGCUCGAUUUAUUCUUGAUGAUAUGGGUAUUACAAGAGUUGAUCUACCACGAGAUCAGAGAGGCUAAACCCUAGAAGCUAGCCUAUGGUAUGAUUGUAUGUUGUCCUACAGACUAAAACCCUCCGGUUUAUAUAGACACCGUAGGGGGCUAGGGUUACACAAGGUCGGUUACAAAGGAGGAGAUAUACAUAUCCGUACUGCCUAGCUUGCCUUCCACGCCAAGUAGAGUCCCAUACGGACAUGAGAUGAAGUCUUCAAUCUUGUAUCUUCAUAGUCUAAUAGUCCGGCCAAAGGACAUAGUCCGACUGUCCGGAGACCCCCUAAUCCAGGACUCCUUCAGUAGCCCCUGAACCAGGCUUCAAUGACGAUGAGUCCGGCGUGCAGUGUUGUCUUCGGCAUUGCAAGGCGGGUUCCUCCUCCGGAUACACCACAGAAGAGUUCGAAAUAAAAGGAUAGUGUCCGACCCUGCAAAAUAAGUUCCACAUACCACCAUAGGGAGAAUAAUAUUUCCACAAAUAUAAUCUGCUGGCACGUUUUGGCAACAUGACAUCAUGCCAUGGCGCGGUGAUCAUUCGAACCAUUUUUCUUUAACUAGCCCCGCACAUAACGCGAGCCAGUUUCUUGACACGUCUUGUCAAAGCAGAGAUCAUGUCCCCCUUAUUACGUGAUUCUCAUCAAUAUGGGCGUGGGUAACCCAACCGCGCCAUGAAUUACGGCGCUUGGAGGAUAAGCGAGUUUUACCAGGCUAGUGGGGGCGCAUAGUUUCGGCCGCCCUUAUAAAGGGAUAAGGUUUAUCCUUUUUCUACCCACGCCUUCUUCCUCCUUGCUCAUCCAUUCUCGCGCACUCGAGCUCCAACGCCCAAGUCCACAUCCUUCUCCUCAACCUUCUCCAAACAUGUCUAGAGCGGGAGGCAAGUGGAUGGCUUCCUCCGUUACGGAGGGACACAUCAAAAAGCUGCGCGGAGCCGGAUACUUAUCUGCGAAUAUCGCGCAUCGGCUGCCCGCUGCAGGGCAGAUCGUCCCCACCCCGGAACCUCACGAGUGGGUAGUCUUCCUCCACCACUUCCUCUGCGGACUGGGGUUUCCCCUCCAUCCAUUCGUCUGUGGUCUUAUGUUCUACUAUGGGCUGGACUUUCAUGAUCUAGCCCCGAACUUCAUCCUCAACAUUACGGCGUUCAUUGUCGUGUGUGAGGCUUUCCACCGCAUCCGGCCCCACUUUGGCCUGUGGCUGAAGACCUUCAAUAUCAAGUCGAAGAUGGUGGGAGGCCAACAAGCAGAAUGCGGCGGAGCCAUGGUGGGCAAGAUGCCCAAUGUUAUAUGGCUUGAAGGCUCCUUCGUGGAGACCAUAAAGGGGUGGCAAUCGGUGUGGUUCUACAUCACCGAGCCACGCGGCACCAACUGGGUGGCGGCCCUCGAGUUUCGAUCCGGAAUCCCCACGCGACUCACCUCCUGGAAAGAGAAGGGCCUAUCCUGGGGUUCAUCGGUGGAGCUGGACGGACUCCAGAAAUGUAUCCGGAAUAUGGCAAGCAAGAAGCUCAAGCUUGUCAACAUAGUCCAGGUCAUGCUCUUCCGCCGGAUCCUCCCGUGUCAACAACGGGAUUUCAACUUGUGGGAGUUCGACCCGGCCUAGCACCAGACUCUGAGCGAGCUCUUUGACACGACGCACAAGGACGUUUGGGGGGUGCUAUUCAAGGGUGCCGAGGUCCCUCCCUCUCUCACCGAGGACCGAGGAACGCGGGCUAAGCGCGAAGCGCCCUGCGAAUCCGGUAAGUUUUGUACAUCUGGUAGGAUUUUUACUUCCCAUAGCUUAACCACGCGUGGGGUCUGAGCUCCCAUGCCUUUGACAGGACUGGGUGGGGGCAUCACAAAAGAUCGACUGUCCGGCCCCUCUGCCCGAAGACACUGCGGACGCUCUCCUGAUGGAGAUGCUGACUCCGGCUCCUUACAAGGUGCCGGAGAAGACCAAGAAGAAGGCCAAGGGAACCCGAAAGAGUUCUCGACGCCAGGUGAUAUCGGACUCAUCAUCCGAUAACUCCGCGAUCCACUCCUCCCCCGAAGACGAGGAGGAAGAUGAAGAUGCUCCCCCUUCAGUCGGGGGAGACAAGAAAAAGGAAGGCCGCCCCGACCGGGGGGGUGAAGGGUCCAAGAAGGGGAGGACCCUCCUCCCGGACUACUCCACCACCGCCGCUGAAGGCGAAGAUGAGUGGCUGCUCAGGGCCAAGCCCCUGGCGAAGUCGUAAGUAUUCGGAUACCAGAGUAACUCAUAGCAUACCUUUGUCGCACUGCUUCUCCUAACGCCGAAUAUGAUUAUGCAGACCGUCCCAAGCCCGUAUCGACGUAUCUUCAUCGGGCGGCUCCUUGGACUCGUCGGAUAUGGAUAGCGAUCCACUCCCGACCGCCACCUCCCCUUGCCCUACGGACAAUGCCGAGGUAUUGUCUCAAGAGGCACCGGGUCGAGGGGAGACAAUCCCGGAGGCGCCUCAAGGCGACCUUCCGGACUCCGGGAGCAGAGGGAGUAAGGCUCCCGAGGGCUCCGAGUUCGGCCCUCAACCGAACACCGCACCGGAACCUCCAGUGGUUCCGGACUCAGGCAGGCGGCCUCCUUCUAAAAGGGGCAAGACGCCUAUGCCGGUGACCUCUGUCCAUCCAGAGGCACCGGACAAUCUGCUGGGAGCGCUUCACAGCGCUUCCAUCGACAAAGAGCACCGCACUAUUAUGAGUGCGGUGAUCCAGAAGGUUCAGUCCGCCAAGAGUGGACUGACUGAAGCCUAUGCCAGCCUUCUAACAGGCUUUGAGGUAAGUAUUUGAAAUAUAGGAAAAAUAUUACCGCAUAGACAGUAGCCCCUGAUGCUCUGUUUGGUGUUCAAAAAGAAAAGUCGAAUAGAGGAUCAACUAAUAUCUGCAGGAGUCCAAUAUAAGUAUGUCUAUAUGCGCAUGCAGGCUUCGUUGCUGACCUCUGCCGCACUGACUGCGGAGGUCGCCGUACUGAAGCAGGACCUCGAAGGGUCCAAGAAAGAGCUCGGCCUUGCCAAGAGGCAGCUCAAGGAGAACAAAGGUAAGUAAUACCUAGUCUAUAGAUGCGUAUAUAUACAAAAAGGAUGCGAUUGCAAAAUGAUAGGAUCAUCUUUAAUUUGCCAGGGGCCACGACCAAGGUGGCAACCCUGAAGCAAGCGUUAUCCAAGGACGAAAAAAGCGGCCCAGGAGCGCACCGAGCGGGAAAAACAAGAGGCACGGGUGGGCGAGGUGCAGCAAGAGCUCCAUGCUCUCGUGACGAAGCACGAGGUGUUGGAGCUUGACUUGAAGACGCGAGAGUCCGAGCUUGCCGCGGCCCUUGAGAGUGCAAAGAGUGCCAAGGCUAAAGCCCAAAAGGCCCUCCAGGAGAUUGAUGCGAUGAAGAAGAUAGCGGCGGGUAAGGCAUUCAAUAUGCAAAGCAAGCAUGUGAAAGUAAAUUACUUGUUACUUACCCGAGUCCGGAGCUCUCUAGGAGCAUUCGCAAAUUUGCCCCGCAGCGUGUCGGAUGCCGCACAGUUUUACUAGGCCGAGGAGGGAAGCUCAACGGAGAAGCUGUUCUGGUCUCAGUAUACUGGGACCGAACACCCGAUGCCUCUGAGCGACCAGCUGAAGCAACUGGUCGAGCUGCACAAGGCGGCCGAACAAGCCAUGAAGGGCUUUAUAGUCCGGAUGUGGCCUGGUGACGUCCUUCCCAAUAGCUACUUUGACCUGGUGAGGCGGCUUGUGGAUGCCUGCCCAUGGCUGGAAGUCAUUAAGCAGUCCGUCUGCAUCGAAGGUGCACGCCGGGCUUUCGCCCGUGCGAAGGUGCACUGGGCCAAGAUGGACGCCGUGAAGCUGGUGAAGGAAGGGCCGCCGCAGGGCAAGGAGCAUCGCCACCCCGAGAUGUACUAUGAGGGUGUCCUGAAGGGUGCCCGUCUUGUAGCAGACAAGUGUGCGAAAGAUGUAAUAUUUGAAUAAACUUGCUAGUCUAAUCCCGUAUUAUGAAAACUUGUUCAUAUGCGCUAUGCAACGCUUGUUUGAAUUUAAAAUAUUGCCUUCUGCUCGGCUGUUUAUCGAAUCUGAGAGAUGGCUAGUCGUCAGCUUCUGCCCCCACGCCAUGAGUGCUAGGGUGUUCAGGAUAAAACCUGAGCACUCUUGUUCCCAUUUUUGGGUCCUUCGAGGGAGGUGCUCAGCACAACGAACAAGGCAAUCGGACUAUAAUGCAUUAUCACUCUCACUUAGCCAUAGAAUUCUAUAAUUUUAAAUUUUAGCGAAGCCCCUAGUAUUCGGAAGCCGAAUUCGGGGCGCUAUACACGCCUUAAGCCGGACAGGGCCGACUCCUCGCUCUAAGCGGCAUAAGUCUUUAGGGACUUGAGACCUCUCGAACAGUGACCAGUCUCUCGCCUUAUCAUGACAGUCAGUUUUAGCUUUUUCUACUAAGGUGCUUAGCCCAGCAGAACGGGGGCACAAUCGCAGUAGUUCUCCCAGUGCUACCUUAGCCGAUAUAGCGGAAUGUAAGGUACCAAAACAUGGGAGCCGGGCAAACCCAACUAUUGACCCAAGACAUGAUUCGAAGCUGAUGCAUAUAAUGCUAUAAGUUCGGGGUGCCGCACUGUCGAAAGUGUUCGGACUUCUCACGCCGUAUUAUGGGGUAUACUUAAGCCCCUAGCGUAUUGUCCGUACCAGAUUGUACGGGUGCUAGAUGUCAUGAAUGAAUAUAUAUAUAUAUAUAUAUAUAUAUAUAUAUAUAUAUAAAGGAAGAAUGCAAUAAUAGUCUUAAUGCUAUGCAUUGUUUAUUCAAAAGGGUGCGUUAGAUCAGAAUGAUACAAGUAGUGCGAUAAGCAAAAGGUAGGAUUAUUUGACAUGUCCCUUCCAAGGGCAAGCUGAGAAAUGGUAUUAAAGCAAGUAUUUCACUCGUUAUCGUAAUCCACCUGGGACUUUCGUGGUGUGACGUAGCUUUCUGCCUCCUUGGUUGCUGCAUCAUAUGUUCGACAAUCAUGCUGCUGGACAGGGUUUCCAGAGAUUAACGUCCUGAAAGAGAAAAAUAACAAAGCGGGAAGCCCCUAGUGCGGUUUAAGCCACAUCUUGGAGCGUGUCGUAGUCGUGCCCCCCUUCCCACCUAUGCCCAUGGUAUUUUUAAUGCGUAAUUAUGUACGCGUGGCACGGACUUUGCCGUUCGGCUGGGACCGGGGUGGGGGCCGCAUUGCUAUGUGAGCUCAGAACGUGCCAGGCGGUCCUGUUGCCGAUUACUCCGGGCGCGCUUGAAGGUGUCCGGGUCCUUAAUCGACGAACUAGUGGAUUGCCUUAAGAGGCUGCUUUGCGCUUCUGCUGUGAGGCCGCAGUGUGCUCCUCCGUGCGGAGAGAGCGCUCUGUGUUUCCAUUGACUGUGAUGACCUCCCGAGGUCCUGGCAUCUUGAGCUUGAGAUAUGCAUAAUGCGGUACCGCAUUGAAUCUCGCAAAUGCGGUUCGCCCGAGCAGUGCAUGGUAGCCACCAUGGAACGGGACUAUGUCGAAGAUUAACUCUUCGAUUCGGAAGUUAUCUGGAGAUCCGAAGACCACUUCCAGUGUGACUGAGCCUGUGCAGUGGGCCUCUACACCUGGUAUGACGCCUUUAAAGGUCAUUUUUGUGGGUUUGAUCCUUGAGGGGUCUAUACCCAUUUUGCGCACUAUGUCCUGAUAAAGCAGGUUCAGGCUGCUGCUGCCAUCCAUAAGGACUCGAGUGAGGUGAAAUCCAUCAAUGAUUGGGUCUAGGACCAAUGCGGUGAAUCCGCCAUGACGGAUACUAGUGGGGUGGUCCUUGCGGUCGAAGGUGAUCGGACAGGAGGACCAUGGGUUGAACUUUGGAGCGACUGGCUCCAACGCAUAUACGUCCCUGAGCGCACGCUUCCGUUCCCUCUUGGGGAUGUGGGUUGCGUAUAUCAUGUUCACCGUCCGCACUUGUGGGGGGAACCUCUUCUGUCCUCCGGUGUUCGGCUGUCGGGGCUCCCCUUCAUCAUCGUUAUGUGACCCCUUAUCUUUGUUUUUGGCAUUUAACUUGCCGGCCUGCUUGAACACCCAACAAUCCCUGUUGGUGUGGUUGGUUGGCUUGUCGGGGGUGCCGUGUAUUUGGCACGAGCGAUCGAGUAUACGGUCCAAACUGGACGGGCCCGGAGUGCUUCUUUUGAAUGGUUUUUUCCGCUGACCAGGUUUAGAGCCUUUCAAUCCGGCAUUGACUGUCGUAUCCUCGGUAUUGUCGCUGUUAAUGCGGCGCUUAUGUUUGUUGCGAUGUGACCUGCCGUUGCCGUCCUUGGUAUCCGAAGUACCAUGGUUCUUUGAUAUGUUAUUGUUGCGAGCCAACCAGCUGUCCUCUCCCGCACAGAAGCGGGUCAUGAGUGUCGUGAGGGCUGCCAUAGAUUUUGGCUUUUCCUGGCCAAGGUGCUGGGCGAGCCAUUCAUCGCGGAUGUUGUGCUUAAAAGCUGCUAGGGCCUCUGCAUCCGGACAGUCGAUGAUUUGAUUUUUCUUUGUUAGGAACCGUGUCCAGAAUUGCCUGGCCGAUUCCUCCGGCUGCUGAAUUAUGUGGCUCAAGUCAUCGGCAUCUGGUGGUCACACAUAAGUGCCCUGAAAAUUGUCGAGGAAUGUAGCUUCUAGAUCUUCCCAACUGCCAAUGGACUCUGCUGGCAAGAUGUUGAGCCAAUGCCGAGCUGGUCCUUUGAGUUUGAGUGGGAGGUAUUUGAUGGCGUGUAGGUCAUCAUCGCGGGCCAUGUGGAUGUGCAGGAGGAAAUCCUCGAUCCAUACCGCAGGAUCUGUUGUGCCAUCGUAUGAUUCUAUAUUUACGGGUUUGAAACCCUCUGGGAUUUGAUGAUUCAUUACUUUGUCUGUGAAGCAUAAGGGGUGUGCGGCGCCUCUGUACUGGGCUAUAUCGUGACGCAGCUCAAAUGAGUCUUUCCCGCUGUGUUCGGCCCGGCCGGACUUACUUUUACUGUAUCCGGCGUGACGAUUAUCGUCUCGCAUAGUGGCGCGCCCUCGUGAUCCAUAGAUCGAUCUUGCAUGUUUUCCUUUGUCCUCCAAUACGUCUCGCAGGUCUGGCGUAUCUCCCCAUGCCUUUUUAUUUGAAUGGCGUCGUGGUGCGGGCUGAGCUUUUGGCUGGAAUGCCUCUCUGUCGCGGCCACGAGGUGGCUGAUCAGCCGCGUCGUACGCCGGGGAUGUAGGUUUCGGUGCUUCCUCCUCCAGUCGGGAUAGCAACCUGCACUUUGGGUAACUCUUGGAGGGGCGCUCGAGUUUAUAUUCCUCGGCCGCCAGGACUUUAGUCCAUCUGUCAGCUAGCAAAUCUUGGUCAGCUUGAAGCUGUUGUUGCUUUUUCUUAAGGCUAUUCGCCGUGGCUAUAAGCCAGCGCUUGAAGCGCUCUUGUUCGACGGGAUCCUCUGGCACAAUGAAUUCAUCAUCGUCGAGGCUUGCAUCGUCUUCAGAGGGAGGAAUGUAAUUAUCAUCCUCUGCCUCUCCAUCUGCCUCUCUCUCAGGAGGGCUGGCUUCUCCAUCCCCCUGCUCUAAAUCUUGCUGGAGGGGAUUGUUGUUGUCUUCGGCACUGUCCGGAGUGCUAUUAUCUCUGGUGCCGGUAUCACCGCUUUUGACUUGGCGGGACUUAGAGCGGCGCCGCUGACGCCGGCGCUUGGGUUGCUUCUUGGAGGGGUCAUCCUCCGCUAUCCCGUCGCUAUUGCCUUCUUUGGGUGUGUCCACCAUGUAUAUGUCAUAUGAUGAGGUGGUUGUCCAGUGCCCUGUGGGCAGUGGUUUCUCUUCGCCUCCCGCAUCAUCGUCCAUACCGUCGAUGUCUUCGGAGUCGAAGUCAAGCAUGUCGGUUAAGUCAUUGAAAGUGGCGACUAAGUGGGUGGUGGGUGGGCGGCGAAUUUCUUUGUCAUCUGUAUCCCAAUUCUGCCGAACAUAGUUCGGCCAGGACCCUCCUGACAAGGAGAGAGACCUUAGUGAGUUCAGUAUGUCGCCGAAGGGCGAGUACUGAAAAAUAUCCGCAGAGGUAAACUCCAUGAUCGGCGCCCAAUCGGAUUCGACAGGAACAGGUGCAGACGGUUCGGAGUCCGUGGCCGGAGAAGGAUCCGCCAGUUUGGCAACACGGCUCUCGUGAAGGGUAAGGUCGAUAUUCGGCUCGAUCGCCGCUGAGGAUACGGCCUCCGUGGUGGGGUCUAUCCACACGUCCAUGGAUGGCGCAACUGGCUCUGAAUUAAGGGUCAGAGCGGCUACCGGUGCGAUUUCUUGAACACUGUCCGAUGGUAGAGCUAAAUCGUACUCAUCGUGACCGCGUGGCGCACAAAGGCAGGGGCUCGAAUCCGUCGAAGAUCAAGUCUCCGUGGAUAUCGUCCGUGUAGUUUAAGCUUCCAAACCUGACCUGGUGGCCAGGGGCGUAACUUUCGAUCUACUCCAGAUGGCCAAGCGAGUUGGCCCGUAGUGCGAAGCCGUCGAACACAAAGAUCUGUCCGGGGAGAAAAGUCUCACCCUGGACUACAUCACCAUCGAUGAUCGUAGGAGCCAUCAAGCCUAACGACGACGACACAGAGGAACUCUCAAUGAAAGCACCAAUGUCGGUGUCAAAAUCGGCGGAUCUCGGGUAGGGGGUCCCGAACUGUGCGUCUAAGGCGGAUGGUAACAGGAGGCAGGGGACACGAUGUUUUACCCAGGUUCGGGCCCUCUUGAUGGAGGUAAAACCCUACGUCCUGCUCGAUUUAUUCUUGAUGAUAUGGGUAUUACAAGAGUUGAUCUACCAUGAGAUCGGAGAGGCUAAACCCUAGAAGCUAGCCUAUGGUAUGAUUGUAUGUUGUCCUACGGACUAAAACCCUUCGGUUUAUAUAGACACUGGAGGGGGCUAGGGUUACACAAGGUCGGUUACAAAGGAGGAGAUAUACAUAUCCAUACUGCCUAGCUUGCCUUCCACGCCAAGUAGAGUCCCAUCUGGACACGAGACAAAGUCUUCAAUCUUGUAUCUUCAUAGUCUAACAGUCCGGCCAAAGGACAUAGUCCGGCUGUCUGGAGACCCCCUAAUCCAGGACUCCCUCAGCCGCCAUCUCAUCGAAAGACGGGACACCUUUUCCUCUAUCAAGUUGUAUUAGAUUUCCAGGUUGCUCGGUGAGAUUUUAUAGUUUUUCUUAGUUUAGAUCGAGUCUGUUCUUCAUACCUACAGUCCACGAAAAAGCCAAAAAAAUUUAGCUUUGUUAUCAUAUCCAAACCAAUCUGAGCCAUUGCAUAAUCUUUUCUGUAUUUGUUUCGUUGAAUUUGCGGUUGCAUCAUCAUGUCAAGUUGCUGGUCUUAGAGUCUAGUCCUUUAGAGUUUCGAGUUUGGUUCACAAGUUGUCAUGCCACCACCGCACCAUCAUCAUCACCGCUACCAUAUACCACCAUAGUCAUCACCACUGCCAUAUACCACCGUCGUCGUCACCGCUGCCAUAUAACACCAUCGUCAUCACCGCUACUAUAUACCACAUAUCCACCACCAUCACGCUAAUCCGAGUCCAUCUUCAUCAUAGAUUCGCCACCAAUCUGUGUUCCACCGCUCUACAUAUAUCCGCCACCAGUCCGAGUUUCCACCAAUUUCAUCUCUACCACCAGUCCUAGUCCGAGUCCAAUAUUUGUUGCUUUGUUUUUGAUUUCCAGAUCACGCCAUACUCCGAGUCGUGACAAAGAAGGAAUUCCGAACUUCCGUGUUACCCGUAGUAGAAAAAUAGUUCCAGUUUCAAAAAAAACUAAGUCUGGAAAAUUCUGGCUAGAUAGUUUUUAGACCAUUUGUAGACUUUUUCAAAAAAAAUUGUUGCGGAGCAAAACAAAGAGGGAAAAAGUGAAAAAAAAAUCAGAGUGUGCUCCUCCCUUAUUUACGUGCAGCGCCGUGAUUUUGUAAGUGUUCUAGGCUCGUGUUUCUAGCUUGGUCUAGCCUAGGACCAGCACAGUACCGUCGUUGAGCGUUUAUUCAACUUUGCAUCUCUGAAUUGAUUAUUGCUGGUAUUUUUACUACCAUAUCAUAAGCCUUCCCAGCUCCACAUACAUCUAUGUCGUGCGUUUGACUCUCCCUGGUAGUCGCUCUGUCCAAGCUUUGAGAGUAUUGACCACAACGGUUGCCGAUCACCACCUGCUGCUGGGUAAGAACUGGUACGAAUUUGAGAUUCGCUUGACGGAUUUGUGACACACCAGCACCACCACCACUUCCUAGUAGUCUGUAGGACCAUAUUCUUGCGUGUUUCUAUUGUUGCUAACCAUGGCAGGAUCACAAACUGAUGAGACUGAUUGGGAGAACAUGACGAACAAGCAGCUACAUGAUAAAUUUCAGCAAAUGAUGAGUGGACAGGUGCAAGAUGUGCUAAACAUAUUUGAAGAGGCCAUUGAGAAGAUAGAUGGCAUUGAGAAGACGUUUGAAACAAAGCUCGAUAACAAGUUUAAUGAAUUGCCCGCGCGUCUUCCACCACCACCGCCGGCUGCACCUGUGGCACCUCUACAACAACAACAAUGUCGCCUUCCAAAUCAAGUGGGACGAGCACUGCACGUUCCCCUUGAGCCUGGUCAAAAUUUUGGUGCCGCUGCACCUACUGUUGAUGCUUCAGUGGCUCCUGCUGCUGCCGCUGAGGAGAACGUUUACGAGGGCGAUUACGAGGAUGAGGUUGAUUAAAAUUAGCAUUGUGUGCAACCACCAGCACCACCACUAGGUCAUCCUCAUGCCUAUAAUCGUAAUGGUAGGGCUGCACCACCACCUCGGGUACGAGAUUAUGACCAUGUUCCUAAACUGAAAUUGAAUAUUCCACCAUUUGAGGGUCAAUACAUUCCUGAUGUCUAUCUUACUUGGGAGUUAGAAACUGAACAACGUUUCACAUGCUUACAAUAUCUUGAGGAUAGAUGUGUUACUGCUGCUGUUUGUGAAUUCACUAGCUUUGCUUCUGUUUGGUGGUCUGAACAUUGUAGAUUAUAUCCUAUUCCAGCUAUUUGGGCUGCUUUGAAAACUGUUAUGCGUAUUCGUUGGGUUCCACCAUAUUAUCAAUGUGAAUUGCUUCAAAAAUUGCAGUGUUUAAGACAAAUAAAAAUUCUGUAGAGGAAUAUUAUCAGGAAUUGCAAACUGGUAUGAUUAGAUGUGGUAUUUUUGAGGAUAACGAAGCUAUGCUUGCACAUUUUAUGGGUGGAUUAAAUAAAGAGAUUCAGACCAUUUUAGAGUAUAAGGAAUAUAAUAAUAUCACUCGUUUAUUCCAUCUUGCUUGCAAAGCUGAACGUGAAGUGCAGGAUCGACAAGCAUUGGCGCGGACUAACUUUUCUGCAGGUACCUUCAUCAUGGACACCGCGUGCAUCUUCUACUUCCACAUGUUCUGCUACACCGGCACCUCCGUCAGCCGCUACCUCCAGCCGUGAUACAAGAAAGUAGGCACUACCACCACUAUCUGCCAAGAGCACACCUAUCGGGCCAGCACAGAGCUCUUCUUCAUCCAUGGCAUCAACAGGGCACACACACAUGAUAUUAUUUGUCGUUGCUGUAAGGGUAGAGGUCAUUAUGCGAGAGAAUGCCAAUCUUCAUGUGUUAUGAUUGCUACUGAGGAUGGUGGGUAUGAGUCCGCUAGUGACUAUGAUGAGGAGACUUUGGCUCUUAUUACACGUGAAGAACACGGUGGAGAUGAUUCUGAACAUGAGACACAAUACAUGGCUCCUGAAGAUGCUGACAGGUAUGAAUGUUUAGUUGCUCAAUGUGUUUUGAGUGUGCAGGUCACACAAGCUGAGCAAAAUCAGAGGCAUAAUUUGUUCCAUUCAAAGGGAGUUGUGAAGGAACGUUCUAUUCGCGUCAUCAUAGAUGGAUGGAGCUGCAGAAACUUGGCUAGCGUGGAGAUGGUGGAGAAGCUAUUUCUCACCAUAAGACCACAUCCACAUCCUUACUAUAUCCAAUGGUUCAAUAACAGCGACAAUGUUAAGGUAACAUGUACUGUUCAUGUGCAUUUUAGUAUCUCUACGUAUGCCGAUUAUGUUGAUUGUGAUGUGGUACCCAUGCAAGCAUGUUCCUUAUUACUUGGUAGACCAUGGCAAUUUGAUAAAAAAAAUUGUACACCAUGGUAUAAAUAAUCAGUAUACUCUUGUUCAUAACGAUAAACAUAUUACUUUGCUUCCUAUGUCUCCUGAUUCCAUUUUGAAAGAUGAUAUUAAUAGAGCUAAUAAAGAAAAACAGGAGAAAAAUAAGAGUGAAAAUCAGAUUGUGGCAAAAGAAUUUGAGCAACAAAUGAAACCUAAUAAUAAACCAUCUAGUGUUGCUUCUGAAAUUAAAUUGAAAAGUGCAUGUUUACUUGCAACCAAGUCUGAUAUUGAUGAGCUAGAUUUUAGCAAAUCUAUUUGCUAUGCUUUUGUGUGCAAAUAGGCAUUUCAUUUGAGGACGUGCCUUCCUCUUUGCCUCCUGCUGUUACUAACAUUUUGCAAAAGUUCGCUGAUGUAUUUCCACAAGACGUGCCACCGGGAUUACCACCUAUUCGAGGGAUUGAGCAUCAUAUUGACUUAAUUCCCGGUGCGUCGCUACCCAACCGUGCACCAUACCAUACCAAUCUAGAGCAGGCGAAGGGGAUUAUGCGUCAAGUCCAGGAGCUGCUCGAUAAAGGUUAUAUACACUAAUCCCUUAGUCCUUGUGUUGUUCCUAUUAUUCUAGUGCCGAAGAAGGAUGGUACAUCGCGUAUGUGUGUUGAUUGUAGAGGCAUUAAUAAUAUUACUAUUCAUCAUCGUCAUCCUAUUCCUAGGCUAGAUGAUAUGCUUGAUGAAUUGAGUGGCUCUACAAUAUUCUUCAAAGUUGAUUUGCGUAGUGGAUACCAUCAAAUUUUUAUGAAAUUGGGAGAUGAAUGGAAAACAACAUUUAAAACAAAGUUUGGCUUAUAUGAGUGGUUAAUCAUUCCUUUUGGGUUAACUAAUGCACCUAGUACUUUCAUGAGAUUAAUGAACGAAGUUUUACGUGCUUUCAUUGGACGAUUUGUGGUAGUCUAUUUUGAUGAUAUAAUGAUUUAUAGCAAAUCUUUAGAAGAACAUUUGGAACAUAUAUGUGCUAUUUUUAUUGCUCUAUGUGAUGCACAUUUGUUUGGUGCACCUUUUGCACCGACCGAGUAUAUUUUCUUGGCUAUGUUGUUACUCUAUAGGGGAUUGAAGUUGAUAAAGCCAAGAUUAAAGCUAUUGAGAGUUGGCCGCAACCCAAAACGGUCACACAAGUGAGGAGUUUUCUUGACCACGCUGGAGUCUAUAGGCUUUUUGUGAGAGAUUUCAGCACCAUUGCUGCACCUCUCAAUGAGCUUACAAAGAAGGAUGUGCCUUUUGUUUGGGGUACCGCACAGGAAGAAGCCUUCACAGUAUUGAAAGAUAAGUUGACACAUACUCCUUUACUCCAACUUCCUGAUUUUAAUAAGACUUUUGAGCUUGAAUGUGAUGCUAGUGGAAUUGGAUUAGGAGGUGUGUUAUUACAAGAUGGCAAACAUGUUGCAUCCUUUUCUGAAAAAUUGGGUGGGCCUAGUCUGAACUAUUCUACUUAUGAUAAAGAAUUAUCUGCUCUUGUUCGGACUUUAGAAACAUGGCAACAUUAUUUAUGGCCUAAAGAAUUUGUUAUACAUUCUGAUCAUGAAUCUUUGGAACAUAUUAAAAGUCAAGCGAAACUAAAUCGUAGACAUGCUAAAUGGGUUGAAUUCAUUGAUACUUUCCCUUAUGUCAUUAAACACAAGAAGGGUAUAGAAAAUGUUAUUGCUGAUGCAUUGUCUCGUCAAUAUACUAUGAUUUCACAACUUGACUUCAAAAUAUUUGGUUUGGAGACCAUCAAAUAUCAAUAUGUGCAUGAUGCUGAUUUUAAAGAUGUAAUGCAGACUUGUAAAGAAGGAAGAACGUGGAACAAGUUCGUUGUUAAUGAUGGAUUUGUGUUCCGUGCUAACAAACUAUGCAUUCCGAGUAGUUCCAUUUGUCUUUUGUUGUUGCAGGAGGCACAUGGAGGAGGAUUAAUGGGACACUUUGGUGUGAAGAAGACGGAGGACGUACUUGCUACACAUUUCUUUUGGCCAAAUAUGAGAUGGGAUGUUGAGCGUUUUGUUGCUCGCUGCACUACAUGUCAAAAAGCUAAGUCACAACUCAAUCCUCAUGGUUUAUAUAUACCUUUUCCUGUACCUAGUGUUCCUUGGGAGGAUAUAUCUAUGGACUUUGUUUUAGGUUUACCCCGAACAAAGAAGGGGAGGGAUAGCAUAACUAUUGUCGUGGAUAGAUUCUCAAAAAUGGCACACUUUAUACCAUGUCAUAAAAGCGAUGAUGCGGUUAAUGUUGCAGAUUUGUUCUUUCGUGGAAUUAUCCGCUUGCAUGGUGUGCCAAAAACUGUUGUUUCAUAUCGUGAUACUAAAUUUCUUAGCCACUUUUGGAGAUGUUUAUGGGCUAAGUUGGGGACUAAACUGCUUUUUAGUACUAUUUGUCACCCCAAACUGAUGGACAAAUCGAAGUAGUCAAUAGAACAUUGUCUGCUAUGCUUAGGGCUGUUUUGAAGAAAAAUAAGAAAAUGUGGGAAGAAUCCUUGCCUCAUAUUGAAUUUGCUUAUAAUCAUUCAUUGCACUCUACUACUAAGAUGUGCCCUUACAAAAUUGUGUAUGGUUUCCUACCUCGUGCACCAAUUGAUUUGUUGCCUCUUCCAUCUUCGAAGAAGGUUAAUUUUGAUGCUAAACAAUGUGCUGAAUUGAUUUUAAAAAUGCAUGAGUUAACUAAGGAAAACAUUGAGCGUAUGAAUGCUAAAUAUAAACUUGUUGCCUUUGCACAUGGAGAUCUUGUUUGGUUACAUUUGCGUAAGGAUAGAUUUCCUGAUUUGCGCAAAUCAAAGCUAAUGCCACGUGUUGAUGGUUCUUUUAAGGUGUUAGAGAAAAUAAAUGAUAAUGCAUAUAAACUUGAGCUGCCGGCAGAUUUUGGGGUUAGUCCCACUUUUAACAUUGCAGAUUUGAAGCCUUAUUUGGGUGAGGAAGAUGAGCUUCUGUCAAGGACGACUUCAUUUCAAGAAGGGGAGGAUGAUGUGGACAUCAAUACCAUUGUUACACCCACAACCCCUACUGCUACAUAUACUGGACCAAUUACUAGAGCUCACACAUGUCAAUUAAAUUAUCAGGUACUUUCGUUUCUUAGUAAUGAUUCUAAUAUUCAUGAGAAUAUGAUGCUGUCUAAAUUGGAUACAUUUGUUUUGCUUACAAAUGAAGGGCCUGACAUGGAUAAGAGGGAUGAACACUGGAGCAAGACCAAGCAUGGAGAUGAUGGCAUGCGCAAGGGGAACAAGAACGAAGUUACAAGUGAUGAUUUCAGGACUUUGAAGCCACUAUAAUGAGUGCAUGAAGCCUUGGAUGAAAUAUACAAGAUGCCACUUCAUAAAUUUCGUCCAGAGACUAUUCUAGGUGCUGCAUCACCUUAUUAUUGGGUCAGGCCCAUGUAAUUUUGAAAUACUUAAGUAUAGGCUAUUUUUAGAGUCCGUUUGUGUGGGGAAACAAGAGUUAGGGUUGGUUUUGGAACCCUCCUCCAAGGGCCAUGAAAUUCCCCCUCUUCCUCCAUAUAUACAACCCUUAGGGCGUCGUUUAGACUUUGGGUAUUGUUUAGAUUAAAAGUUCGCCAUAGCUGCAACUUCGCGUACUUCGUUUGUGUUCAACGACCAGACCAAGGCGUCACAGAACCCCACCUUGAUCAAUAAAGCUUUCAUCUUAUAUUCGCAAUAUCUAGAUUGCAAUCUUAGUUUCUUGCUUGUUCUUCAUUUGCUUGCAGGAAAUAGACCUUCAUGGUCAUGUUGAUCGUGCUCCGGCGUGGUCAAUAACCUCUCGGAGUUGGCUUAGCGAUUGCUAAGGCGUGACGUCCUCACAUAUUCGUAGUCGGAUCGUCAACGUCUACUCCACCAUAAACGAUAGCCGCCAUUUCAUCGAAAGAUGGGACGCCUUCGCCUCUAUCAGGAGAUGGUCGUGAGGUGGAGCUCCAUCAAUGGCUACCUACCGUGAGAGAGGUUGCACUUUAGUCACGCCAGAGAGCAGGAAACAACUUCGAUGGGAAGGGGUGCAAGGCACCGGGGCUCACGACGGGCAUCGGGGAGGUCGAGCGACGGGUGGGGCAACUGGGCUCGGAUGAGGACAUGGGCUACAUCGGCAGCGUUGAGCAGCUAGGAUGGCAAUGGAGGCAGGAUGGCAAGAGCACGCAUGGCCACCUUCAGGCGCUCCAUAGCCACGACCGGUCACCACCAACAGGGACCCGAUCAAGGGACCGGAUUGCUUUUUUUCGCAAGGACCUGAUUACUUUUUAAAGAGUAGUACAUGGACCCAAUUGCUUUUAUUUUUUUGUAGGGACUAGAUUGCAUUUAGAAAAUAUGUGGGCCCCACAUGUCAUAACCCGUCAACGAUCAACUUAAUGGUCAAAGCUAACUGAUUUAGGGCCAACCUGAAGAGGGGUCCCGAGCUGUCAUAAUCACACUUAAAAGUUAACCAACAUAGUUAUCAUUAAGUCAUUGGUGUUUUUUGGAACAACCAACCAAUUUUAUGGUAGCUUUUUAGAAAAUUGGAGAAAGUGGUAGUUUUUCGGAACCCUAGCAUCAAAUAUGAUAGCUUUAUGUUGUUUACUCGAUUUAAAUCCAUCCAAAGCUAUAACAAGCACGACCGGAAAAUUAGAUUUGCUAGAAAAGCAAAUCCAUAAAUAAUUUGAAUCCAAUCAAAAUAGAGCUCCUUAUCCUGAUGCAUAUGUUUAUUUUGUUCACUUAGUACGAGCGUACAUGUGUUUUUUUUAACACAGUACAAACCCAUGUCAUCUUGAGAUUUUACGAAGUUAUUGUAGAUACCACGUAGUCAACGAAAAUAUCUCCUUCCACAUGUUGGAGAUAUCAGAGUUUUAAAAUAAAUUCAGGAUAAAUGCAAGCAUCAGGAUUUGAAUCCUGAUGGAUUGGAGAUACCACUGUCCUCCUACAUAUUCAACCACAUAUUGGUUCGCUGAGCGCACAUGUGCUGUUGGUUUCUCAUAUGCACUUGUCACAAAAUAAAAUAAUCUCACCUGCACUGAAUAUUUUAAAUAAUACUCCUUUCGUCUGAAAAUAUUUAUCAUCAAAAUAGAUAAAAAGAGAUAUAUUUAGAACUAAAAUACGUCUAGAUAUAUCUUCUUUUAUUCAUUUUGAUGACAAGUAUUUCCGGACGGAGCGCUACAAGGACAGUGCAUUUUUAGAAACAGAGUAUAACCAGUGAGAAUAUAUUUAACUUCGCACCAGUUGGUCGUCAUCUUCAGCGCGAGAGACAGCACACUCUCUCUUCUAUCUAUCCCCUGAGUCCCUGACCUUCCCUUUCGAGCCAUCGCAUCGUCAUCGUCUCAGCGCCUUGCUCAAGUAUCCUCCUCUGUAAAUCGAGCCGCUCCCAUCUUUUUAUCCUCCCACUCCCAAAGUCGGAAACAAUGUCUCCAUUAACCGCAUAGCCGCGAGGCUAGCUAUCGGACGAGCUGCCCAAACGGACGCGGCCGCCUAGUCCAGGCCUGUCUCCGACCACCGCGCCGUCGCCAUGGCCUCGGGAAGCCGCGCCACGCCCACGCGCUCCCCCUCCUCCGCGCGGCCCGCCGCGCCGCACCAGAAUCACACGCAGUCCUCGGGCGGGAGCACCUCCCGCGCGGGAGGGGGAGGGGGAGGCGCGGCCGGGAGCGCGGCCGCCACGGAGUCGGUCUCCAAGGCCGUGGCGCAGUACACCCUGGACGCCGGCCUCCACGCGGUGUUCGAGCAGUCGGGCGCGUCGGGGCGCAGCUUCGACUACUCUCAGUCGCUGCUCGCGCCGCCCACUCCCUCCUCCGAGCAGCAGAUCGCCGCCUACCUCUCCCGCAUCCAGCGCGGCGGCCACAUCCAGCCCUUCGGCUGCACGCUCGCCGUCGCCGACGACUCCUCCUUCCGCCUCCUCGCCUUCUCCGAGAACGCCGCCGACCUGCUCGACCUAUCGCCUCACCACUCCGUCCCGUCGCUCGACUCCUCCGCGGCGCCUCCCCCCGUUUCUCUCGGCGCCGACGCGCGCCUCCUCUUCUCUCCCUCCUCCGGCGUCCUCCUUGAGCGCGCCUUCGCCGCACGGGAGAUCUCGCUGCUCAACCCGCUCUGGAUCCACUCCAGGGUCUCAUCCAAGCCCUUCUACGCCAUCCUCCACCGCAUCGACGUCGGCGUCGUCAUCGACCUCGAGCCCGCCCGCACCGAGGACCCCGCCCUCUCCAUCGCUGGCGCAGUUCAGUCCCAGAAGCUCGCCGUCCGCGCCAUCUCCCGUCUCCAGGCGCUCCCUGGCGGGGACGUCAAGCUCCUCUGCGACACCGUCGUGGAGCACGUCCGUGAGCUCACGGGCUAUGACCGCGUCAUGGUGUACAAAUUCCACGAUGAUGAGCAUGGGGAAGUCCUCGCCGAGAGCCGGCGUGGUGACCUCGAGCCCUACCUCGGUUUGCAUUAUCCUGCCACUGAUAUCCCGCAGGCAUCACGCUUCCUGUUCCGGCAAAACCGUGUGCGGAUGAUUGCUGAUUGCCACGCAGCUGCGGUGAGGGUCAUCCAGGACCCUGCAAUGCCACAGCCGCUGUGCUUAGUUGGGUCGACUCUUCGCUCCCCACAUGGGUGCCAUGCGCAGUACAUGGCAAACAUGGGGUCGAUUGCAUCUCUCGUCAUGGCAGUGAUCAUCAGUAGCGGUGGGGAAGAUGAGCACAACAUGACGCGGGGCGUCAUCCCGUCGGCGAUGAAGUUGUGGGGGUUAGUGGUGUGCCACCACACAUCUCCACGGUGCAUCCCUUUCCCACUGCGGUAUGCAUGUGAGUUCCUCAUGCAGGCCUUUGGGCUGCAACUCAACAUGGAGCUGCAGCUUGCGCACCAACUAUCAGAGAAACAUAUUCUCAGAACACAGACGUUACUGUGCGACAUGCUACUCCGGGAUUCACCUACUGGCAUUGUCACACAGAGCCCAAGCAUAAUGGACCUUGUGAAGUGUGAUGGUGCUGCACUGUUUUACCACGGGAAGUACUACCCACUUGGUGUCACCCCCACAGAGGCUCAGAUUAAGGAUAUCAUCGAGUGGUUGACGGUGUGCCAUGGAGACUCCACAGGGCUCAGCACAGAUAGCUUGGCUGAUGCAGGCUACCCCGGUGCUACUGCAUUAGGGGAUGCAGUGUGCGGAAUGGCAGUAGCUUAUAUCACGCCGAGUGAUUAUUUGUUUUGGUUCCGGUCACACACAGCCAAGGAGAUAAAAUGGGGUGGUGCAAAGCAUCAUCCGGAGGAUAAGGAUGAUGGGCAGCGGAUGCACCCACGAUCAUCAUUCAAGGCAUUUCUUGAAGUGGUGAAGAGUAGGAGCUUACCUUGGGAGAAUGCUGAGAUGGAUGCAAUACAUUCCUUGCAGCUCAUAUUGCGGGACUCCUUCAGAGAUGCAGGAGAGGGCACUAGUAACUCAAAAGCCAUUGUCAAUGGUCAGGUUCAGCUUGGGGAACUAGAGUUGCGGGGAAUAGAUGAGCUGAGUUCAGUAGCAAGGGAGAUGGUUCGGUUGAUCGAGACGGCUACAGUACCCAUCUUUGCAGUUGAUACUUAUGGAUGUAUAAAUGGGUGGAAUGCAAAGGUUGCUGAGUUGACUGGCCUCACAGUUGAAGAAGCUAUGGGCAAAUCAUUAGUUAAAGAUCUUAUCUUCAAGGAAUCUGAAGAAAUAGUUGAGAAGCUACUCUCGCAAGCUUUAAAAGGUAUUCCUGACUACAAGUCCUGCUAAUUUGGUUGUUCUUUCCUCGAUUUAUGUUUCUGGACGUAUCAUUUACACACUAUUGCUUACCAGAUAAUUUCAGGCAUUCACAUGAAAGUAUCUUACAAUUAGUAUAUAAGUAUGCUCAAAUUGAAAAUAUGUCAAAUUUAUCAUCAAAGAUUGGAGUAGUUAACCCGAAGUAAAUGUCAUUAUUCGUACUGUUUAUAGUAUUAUAAAUUACCUGGUCUAUACACAGUCAACCUGCCUUAUAAUUAAUGGAAAAUGGUGGGAUUGGAUAGUGAUGGUUUAUGGACUUGUUUCUCAUCCAGGUGAAGAAGGCACAAAUGUAGAGAUUAAGUUGAAGACAUUUGGGUCAGAGCAAUCUAAAGGACCAAUUUUUGUUAUUGUCAACGCCUGCUCUAGUAGGGAUUACACCAAAAGUAUUGUUGGUGUUUGUUUUGUCGGCCAAGAUAUCACAGGGCAAAAGGUGGUCAUGGAUAAAUUUGUCAACAUACAAGGGGAUUACAAGGCUAUUGUACACAAUCCCAAUCCUCUAAUACCGCCAAUAUUUGCUUCAGAUGAGAACAUAUGUUGCUCCGAAUGGAAUACGGCGAUGGAAAAACUCACAGGAUGGUCGAGAGGAGAAGUUGUUGGUAAGCUUCUGGUUGGGGAGGUAUUUGGAAAUUGUUGCCGACUUAAGGGCCCAGAUGCACUGACAAAGUUCAUGAUUGUCCUUCACAACGCUAUAGGAGGGCAGGAUUCUGAGAAGUCCCCCUUUUCAUUCUUUGACAAGAAUGGUAAAUAUGUACAGGCCUUGUUGACUGCAAACACAAGGAGCAAAAUGGAUGGUGAGACCAUAGGUGCCUUCUGCUUCUUGCAGAUUGCAAGCCCUGAAUUACAGCAAGCCUUUGAGAUUCAGAGACAACAAGAAAAGAAGUGUUAUGCCAGGAUGAAGGAGUUGGCUUACAUUUGCCAGGAGAUAAAAAACCCUCUCAGUGGUAUACGGUUUACAAACUCCCUGUUAGAGAUGACUGAUUUAAAGGAUGACCAGAGGCAGUUUCUUGAAACUAGCGCUGCUUGUGAGAAGCAGAUGUCCAAGAUUGUAAAGGAUGCCAGCCUCCAAAGUAUUGAGGACGGGUCAGUAUUCUGAUAUUAUUAUUAUUAUUAUUAUUAUUAUUAUUAUUAUUAUUAUUAUUAUGAGUGUGAUGCCUUUUCCUUCCACAAGAUGUGCUUGGACUCUGAAUAGUUUGAACGGCAGCUGGCACUAAUUUUGUUUGAUUAAGCAUGUAAGAAAGAUAAGGGAUUAGAGAAGUAAGUACAUCAGACACUGAUAGCUCCAAUCCCUGUCUUGGCACCUCUCUAGAGUGUAAUUCUUUCUGUGCACAUCAACCCUUCAUGACAGUUGCAUUUUUUCCAUCCUUGCCUCCUUGGCAUCUAUCUCACUGUACACUCGCUUUGUCUGGGCAACAUUCAAAACACGUUGGUGGUACUGCCUGGAUUCUCAACAUUGCUACAUCAAAUACCACACUAGGAAUCUAGGAUCAUGUCAAAACUAAAGGAAUAUCCUUAUGCAUUUAUCACAUCCUACAAAACCUUAAAGUGAACUUCACAGCCCACGUAACCUCAACCUGUGCAAGAAGUUUGUGCCAAGCAUAUAUCCGUGGUAGUAUAAUACUAGCAUCCUAGUAUAAACUUGGUAACCAUGUUUGCAGAUGUUGCAAUUCAUCUGCUUGCUUAAAAUUUCAGAUACUUUUGGUUGCCUUGCACAGCUGGUCAAUCAUCUCAGCUUUUAUUGAUGGACAAUAAAUCUGUACCACUUUUACCCCAAGGACGCUCCAACUCAUGUUAUGCAAAAUCUCCCAUAUCAUUUUGCGAAGUUUAAACAUAAAGGAAUCUGAAUAUCCUUUUGAAUACGAACUCACAGCUUUGUGCAGACUAUCUUUUUUUCAUGUGUUAUUAUGUACUCUGUGAUUUCAUAUGGAUUCACUGGUGUGUAGACAGAAGCAUUAUCUCACCUUUUCCAUGAUCUAUGACAGUUUACCUCUCUGUUAAGUACUUUAGCAAUUUAUUAUCCAAAAAUUUAUUUGUUCUGUUUUGGCUUAUUUUACAGCUCUUUGGUGCUUGAGAAAGGUGAAUUUUCACUUGGAAAUGUUAUGAACGCUGUUGUCAGCCAAGUGAUGAUAUUGCUAAGAGAAAGAGAUUUGCAACUUAUUCGAGAUAUCCCUGAUGAAAUAAAAGAAGCCUCGGCAUAUGGUGACCAAUAUAGAAUCCAGCAAGUUUUGUCUGACUUUUUGCUUAGCAUGGUCCGGUUUGCUCCAACUGAAAAUGGCUGGGUGGAGAUACAAGUCAGACCAAACGUAAAACAAAAUUCUGAUGGAACGGAAACAAUGCUCUUCCUCUUCAGGUUAGCUGCUUUCCUGUCUCUUUGCAAUAUACAUGAAGAUGAUAUAUUACAUUACUUUAGAGGAAUGCCUUUGCUUGAACUUGAUUGAAAGCAAGAUAACGAUUGCUUAAAUUUUUAUUGGUCAUGUGUGGUAUAACCGUGCCUUGUUACAUGUGGUUAUCAUGAACUAUUCAUGAUUUAUAUAAGUACUAGGAAAGUAUGAAUACUAUCAUAAUCAUUGUAAUUGUUGUUUGUUAUACAAUAAUUGCCAUGGCAUGAAUAUGCUAGUUUUUAAUAGGGCAACCUGACUGGAUGUACACCUGACGCUGAUCACAUUGCUUCUAUUUUUCUCAUGAAAACAUAAAAUACAAAUGAAGCUCCCAACUAACACAAAAGUAACAACAGUAUUUGACAGAUUGUCUUUAGAGAAGGGGAAAAGGUUAAAUGUAAGGAAUGAGAUGUGGCAUCACCGUAGCGUUAUGGCCGUCGGUGAACUAGCCAGUAGGAGAUAGGCGAAGGUAUUGGAUAGGUUAUGUUAGAGGUAGGAAGUUUAAGAGAAGGAAUAAAUCAAGUAUUAAGCAUCCUUGUUGGAUACUACUGGGUCUGUUAUAAAGUGUCUGGCUAAAUUAGUAAUAGUCCAGUUGAACUAGGAAGGUAGAUUUAUGGUCCGGUCUAGAGUUUGAAUUCAGAUCUGACUUGUAGAUCAAGUUGGUCGUUCUAUAUAAAGUACUAGUGUCUCUCAAUCUGUUAUCUCCCUUGUCCAUCAUCUCUAACCAGUGUUUUACUCCCCAGUCCCCUACGCCGUGCCAUCCUUCUGUUUUUAAGGGGGAGACGGAGGGAGUAGUUAUCAAUCUAUUAUCUCCCUUGAUCAUCCUCCCUAACCAGUGUUUUACUCCCCGAUCCCCUACGCUGUGCUGUCCAGCCUUCAUGGCGGUAGACCGGUACUGACUCAGCUUAUGCCACGUAGACGCAAGCGUAUUCAGCUUUUCAGGAGACAUACUGUACAUAAUUUGUAGCCAGUGUGCAUGCGAAUUCAGGUCACCUGGAAGUCACACAAUUUCAUGGUGCAAUGGACUCCUAUUCAAUGACUCAGUAGUGCAAAAGAUGGUGUUGAACAUUUAAUCAGAAUCAACCCAGCGCAUUUUGUAAUAGCAGUCAUGGGGAUUGGUUUUCCUAACAAAUGGAUGCAAAUACAGUGUGAUUUAAGGUUAAGGGUCCAACUUCAAAUUUGAGCCUUCUGAUUAGAAAGAUGAGGGCCAGGGUGUUAUGGAUCUGUGAAACUCAUGUUUUUUAGGCAUCCAUACAUCAGCUGUGUGUUUGUUUCUUCAAGUAUUUGUUGUUUGGUUGCAUAUAUGUGAUAAAAGAGAUGUAUCAAGCUGGCAUGCGUAAAUACCGCUGUUCGCGUGCAGAAGCGUGUAAAGAUUUGGAGAGCUAUUUAACAGAUUAGAAGGAUUCAGAUUUGAUUUCUGUCAUUCAUGUUUUUUAACUUAUUCAUGCAUUAUUUUGUUUCUAGUGAGAGCAAAAGAGAUAAAGGGAAGGCAAAUUGAGUCUUAAUACUGCACGAUUCACAUCCAUCCGCGGGUCACAUGAUGUCAAGCCACAUCAUAUCUUUUUGGCACUUCUUGUGCCUCAUGCCACAAAUAGUGUCAUAUUUUAGGAAGACUUCAUUAUAUUAUACUCCCUCCAUCCCACAAUAUAAGACGUUUUUGCAAGCUAUGUUAGCUUGCAAUCCUCCGUCCCACAAUGUAAGACGUUUUUGCAAGCUAACAUGCAAAAGCGUCUUACAUUGUGGGACGGAGGGAUUAUUAGGAAGAUUACAAAGCUAUAUACGAGCUAACAAAUAGCGCCAUAGUUUAGAAAGCUAGCUUCAUUACAUUAUAUUAGAAAGGUUAUUAAGUUAUAUAUACGUGGCCAUGGAUUUAGCAUGGGUCUAUGAGUCACGCGAUCAAUGUUUGUUGAUUCCAUCCAGUGCCCAUGGUUGGUUAAUCAUAGCAAGGGUUGAUCAACGGCUGGGUGUUUUGCUUGUUUGUAGGAAUUUUUAGCAUGUUUUCGUGUUUGUCAUUGGAUUUAUUAUGUACCCCCUCCGUCCUAUAAUGUAAGAUGUCAUUACAACCAAUGUAUUCAUAUAUUGGUUGUAAUAAUAUCUUAUAUCAUGGGCGGAGGGAGUAGUACAUAUAUCUCUCGGUGUAGCAUGCAUCUUUGUUGUAUUCACUGCCACAUGCUGUUCUCGUUUGGUUUUAUCAGCUUCAGUGUUGUCUUUUGACUCAUGAGCAGUAGGAUCAAAUGAUCAUCUUCUGUAAAUCAUGUUAUUACAAAAUUCUACUUCUGUUGCAAUAUACUCGGUGUCAAAAAACGUCUUAUAUUUUGAUAUAGAGGGAGUAGUUUUGAAUAAAUAAAUGCGCAAACAUUCUACUUGAUGGUUUGGGGGAGAUUUUAUUGUAAAUGGUGGUUAUAAUGGGCUUGGUGACACAAAUAGUGCUUAAAAGUUCAAUCUCUUGUGUUGGUACAAAUUUCAAUAGAGUAACUCCUGCUGGACCUUGAUUGCCUUUCAUCUAUGUGUGUUUCUCCAGAUUUGCCUGUCCUGGUGAGGGCCUCCCCCCUGACAUUGUCCAAGAUAUGUUCAGUAACGCCCGUUGGACGACCCAAGAAGGCAUUGGACUAAGCGUAUGCAGGAAAAUCCUCAAAUUGAUGGGUGGUGAGGUGCAGUACAUCAGAGAGUCAGAGCGGAGUUUCUUCCUCAUUGUGCUUGAGCUACCCCAGCCUCUGCGAUCAGAAAGUAGGGAUCGGAGCUGAUAUGGCAAGCUGAAAGCUGACCUCGCCUAACUGUUCGGUCAGCCAGGUGACUUGAGAUUCCCGGAUAGGAGGGAGCCUAGUUCGUGAGAAGCCCGCAAAAUCAAUAUGAGCACGCCGGGAGCUGCAAAUGUGAUUCCCGGCCAUUCCUGGCACGCCGACUGUACGCGAAGUGUUAUUCGAUUAGAGUUUCAUGGCGGCGAGCACUGAACAUGAACACUGACGGUAAUGUAGCUGGUAGCAUAGGCCCAUGACUACUUGGAUAAAGUAAAUACGAUGUUCUUAGCCGCUAUGUAUAUAUACAUGAGAAUAUCUCUUGUAUUAUGGAUAAGGAGAGCUGUACAGCUCCCACGAUUGUAUUCUGAUACGUAUACUUUUGUCACAGUCUCUUGCCAUGAACUAUUUCUAUUCAU
This 33875-nucleotide long non-coding RNA is filed under the name Triticum aestivum (bread wheat). RNAcentral's name for it is "long non-coding RNA (TAES_LNC001306)". The stretch from base 25642 to 25775 matches the Rfam family "MIR1120/MIR1122 microRNA precursor family". The record is from RNAcentral. Lineage: Eukaryota; Viridiplantae; Streptophyta; Magnoliopsida; Poales; Poaceae.